RNAcentral lists this long non-coding RNA (1493 nucleotides) under Mus musculus (house mouse). RNAcentral's name for it is "long non-coding RNA chr18:7894299-7895792". The record is from RNAcentral. Lineage: Eukaryota; Metazoa; Chordata; Mammalia; Rodentia; Muridae.
UCUAUCUGGGUUGUAAUAUGGCUAAUAUAGAGUCUAAGUACUUUGGGAAAAGAUAAAUAUUUGAAGUAUAACUUCUACUGUAUUUAUAUUGAUUUUUUGCAUCAUUAUAAAAUCAUUAAGUGUAACCAUUACUAGUUUGGGAACUUGAACUUAUACUUCUAAAACAACCAUAGGCAGGAUGGGUGUGACCUGAUUUAAAUAGGGAUUUGCCAACACCUAUUAUACAUAAAGAAGUGAGGGCUAGGAAUUUGCCCUGAAACUUAAGUGAAAGUUUGAGAACGAAACUUAGCACAGGAGAGAGAGUGAGGUGUUAUUGAUAGAACAAGAAGAAAGCCUGGGAAGGGACUCUCUUCUGGAGGCUCAGUGAGGAAAGCAUUUUAAAAGUGUUGGGUGGGUCAGCACAUGCCAGAGGGUGGAAAAUGUGAGACCUGCAGGUUUGUUUUUAUAUCAGUAGCUAAUGUCCUGAAGGCAGAGAUUGGAUUUACUAACACAAGAUCAACUUAAGCCUCUAGAAGAUGAAUGUGAAGAGGAGAGUGAGUGGAUUUGGGUUUUUGACAACCCCCCUCAAUCUAUCUGUCCUUCCGUCCAUCUGUCUGUCUGUCUGUUAGAUGAAAAAUAAGUACUUGAGGCCCUGCGAUUCUCUUAAGGUAUAAAGAAAAAAUAUUUUUAAUGUCUAGCAAUUCUUAGCCUUGUGUAAGCUGAUAAUUUUGACCCAUCAACGUGUUUGUCUGUUUAGUGAUACUAUGUUUAAGUGAAGAGUCUAGAUUUAGGAAUAAGGAAAGUUGCAGAGAUUAAAAAUUGUUUUUGUUUUUUUUUCUCCGUGUACUUAGUUUGUGCGUGGUUGUUUGCAUGCCAUGUAGUUAGUAGGACACAUGAUGGAUUGAUUUUUCUAGGGGACCACAGUCAGGUCAUCCCUGUGUUUACCUGCUUACUAUCUCAGUGGCCUCAGUUUUGUUUAAAGUGCGGUGUUGUUCAAACGUGUUUUAAUAGCAUCUUGGCAACCAAGGCUGAGGCCUGGGAAACUUAGUCAUGCUUCUGUAGGCUGUGACAAAGCCCUGUCACCAAAAGCAGCUUGGGGAGGAAAGAGUUUAUUUGGCUUACAGGUUAUCAUGCAGGCAAUUCAGUCAGGAACUCAAGUCAGGCAGAACUAGAAGCUGGAACUGAAAUAAAGACGCCAAGGGAAUGUGCUUUACUGAUCUGUUAUCCUGGCUUCCCUAGUUUUCUUUCCUGUUUCUUUUACUUAUUUUUUUUAAUUGAUAAUAGAAUUUCAUACUAUAUAUUUUGAUCCUGGCUUUAUUGUCCCAAGUUCCUCCCAGAUCUUCUAUCCUAAUCUGUAGCAUUUCUUUAACUCUAAUAAGCAGGCAUCUAAGAAUUCUCUUGGUGUUCCUAUUCAUAGCACCACCUUCACAAUAAUGGUAAUGCCUCUUCCCAAAUAAUUAAAGCUUAUGUCAUGUUGACAAAAACAAAACAAAACAAAAAAGCCCAGUUAGGAC